Molecule: long non-coding RNA, 144 nt
Organism: Leopardus geoffroyi (Geoffroy's cat)
Lineage: Eukaryota; Metazoa; Chordata; Mammalia; Carnivora; Felidae
Exons: 3
Source: RefSeq, a predicted model, not a curated record
CUGGGGCACCUGGGUGGCUCAGUCGAGGGAGCAUCCGACUCUUGAUUUCCGCUCAGGUCAUGAUCUCAGUUUGGGAGUUCGAGCCUCGCAUCGGGUUCCGCACUGACAGCGCGAAGCCCGGUUGGAAUCCUCUCGCUCCCUCUC